UGGGGAAUAUUGCACAAUGGGGGAAACCCUGAUGCAGCGACGCCGCGUGAGCGAAGAAGGUUUUCGAAUCGUAAAGCUCUGUCCUAUGGGAAGAUAAUGACGGUACCAUAGGAGGAAGCCCCGGCUAACUACGUGCCAGCAGCCGCGGUAAUACGUAGGGGGCAAGCGUUGUCCGGAAUCACUGGGCGUAAAGGGUUCGCAGGCGGAAAUGCAAGUCAGUUGUGAAAGGCAGAGGCUCAACCUCUGUAAGCAAUUGAAACUGUAUUUCUUGAGAUGUGGAGAGGCAAGUGGAAUUCCUAGUGUAGCGGUGAAAUGCGUAAAUAUUAGGAAGAAUACCGGUGGCGAAGGCGACUUGCUGGACACAAACUGACGCUGAGGAACGAAAGCGUGGGUAGCAAACAGG
This 403-nucleotide ribosomal RNA is filed under the name Fusobacteriota bacterium. RNAcentral describes it as "Fusobacteria bacterium partial 16S ribosomal RNA". It matches the Rfam family "Bacterial small subunit ribosomal RNA", at positions 355 to 776 of the family's 1533-position model. The record is from RNAcentral. Lineage: Bacteria; Fusobacteriati; Fusobacteriota.